GAUGAACGCUGGCGGCGUGCCUAAUACAUGCAAGUAGAACGCUGAAGGAAGGAGCUUGCUCUUUCCGGAUGAGUUGCGAACGGGUGAGUAACGCGUAGGUAACCUGCCUGGUAGCGGGGGAUAACUAUUGGAAACGAUAGCUAAUACCGCAUAACAGUAGAUAUUGCAUGAUAUCUGCUUGAAAGGGGCAAUUGCUCCACUACCAGAUGGACCUGCGUUGUAUUAGCUAGUUGGUGAGGUAACGGCUCACCAAGGCGACGAUACAUAGCCGACCUGAGAGGGUGAUCGGCCACACUGGGACUGAGACACGGCCCAGACUCCUACGGGAGGCAGCAGUAGGGAAUCUUCGGCAAUGGACGGAAGUCUGACCGAGCAACGCCGCGUGAGCGAAGAAGGUUUUCGGAUCGUAAAGCCCUGUUGUAAGAGAAGAACGAGUGUGAGAGUGGAAAGUUCACACUGUGACGGUAUCUUACCAGAAAGGGACGGCUAACUACGUG
RNAcentral lists this ribosomal RNA (497 nucleotides) under uncultured bacterium. RNAcentral describes it as "partial 16S ribosomal RNA". It matches the Rfam family "Bacterial small subunit ribosomal RNA", at positions 28 to 507 of the family's 1533-position model. The record is from RNAcentral.